RNAcentral lists this ribosomal RNA (253 nucleotides) under uncultured bacterium. Its description in RNAcentral is "partial 16S ribosomal RNA". It matches the Rfam family "Bacterial small subunit ribosomal RNA", at positions 524 to 776 of the family's 1533-position model. The record is from RNAcentral.
UACAGAGGGUGCGAGCGUUGUUCGGAAUUAUUGGGCGUAAAGGGCGCGUAGGCGGCGCCACAAGUCACCUGUGAAAACUCUGGGCUCAACCCAGAGCCUGCAGGCGAAACUGGCAGGCUAGAGUGCGGGAGAGGAGAGUGGAAUUCCUGGUGUAGCGGUGAAAUGCGCAGAUAUCAGGAAGAACACCCGUGGCGAAGGCGGCUCUCUGGAACGCAACUGACGCUGAGACGCGAAAGCGUGGGGAGCAAACAGG